CUGGCGGCAGGCCUAACACAUGCAAGUCGAGCGCCGUAGCGAUACGGAGCGGCAGACGGGAGAGUAACACGUGGGAACGUACCCUUUGGUUCGGAACAACCCAGGGAAACUUGGGCUAAUACCGGAUAAGCCCUUACGGGGAAAGAUUCAUCGCCGAAGGAUCGGCCCGCGUCUGAUUAGCUAGUUGGUGGGGUAAUGGCCCACCAAGGCGACGAUCAGUAGCUGGUCUGAGAGGAUGAUCAGCCUCACUGGGACUGAGACACGGCCCAGACUCCUACGGGAGGCAGCAUUGGGGAAUAUUGGACAAUGGGCGCAAGCCUGAUCCAGCCAUGCCGCGUGGGUGAUGAAGGCCCUAGGGUUGUAAAGCCCUUUCGGCGGGGAAGAUAAUGACGGUACCCGCAUAAGAAGCCCCGGCUAACUUCGUGCCAGCAGCCGCAGUAAUACGAAGGGGGCUAUCGUAGCUCGGAAUCACUGGGCGUAAAGC
RNAcentral lists this ribosomal RNA (484 nucleotides) under uncultured bacterium. RNAcentral describes it as "bacterial SSU rRNA". It matches the Rfam family "Bacterial small subunit ribosomal RNA", at positions 36 to 566 of the family's 1533-position model. The record is from RNAcentral.